GGUCAGGUCCCAUGCAAUAGCACCUUUGGUGAACCCCGUCAGGUCCGGAAGGAAGCAGCGGUAGCCAAAGGUCUAUGUGAUAUGGGGUGCCUGGCCACC
This 99-nucleotide signal recognition particle RNA is filed under the name Bdellovibrio sp. Its description in RNAcentral is "signal recognition particle sRNA small type". It matches the Rfam family "Bacterial small signal recognition particle RNA". From Rfam's summary of the family: The signal recognition particle (SRP) is a universally conserved ribonucleoprotein involved in the co-translational targeting of proteins to membranes. Archaeal SRP consists of a 7S RNA and homologues of the eukaryotic SRP19 and SRP54 proteins. The record is from RNAcentral. Lineage: Bacteria; Pseudomonadati; Bdellovibrionota; Bdellovibrionia; Bdellovibrionales; Pseudobdellovibrionaceae.